CUUGAUCGACCCCAGCAGCAGCGGGGUGUCCCGGUCCUGGCCGUAGGUGGCCAGCAGGGCCUGGGCCUC
Actinokineospora bangkokensis is the source of this 69-nucleotide non-coding RNA. It matches the Rfam family "ASpks TB sRNA". The record is from Rfam. NCBI's taxonomy places the organism in Bacteria, Bacillati, Actinomycetota, Actinomycetes, Pseudonocardiales, Pseudonocardiaceae.